GNGGGGGUGCUAAUACAUGCAAGUCGAGCGGACAGAAGGGAGCUUGCUCCCGGAUGUUAGCGGCGGACGGGUGAGUAACACGUGGGUAACCUGCCUGUAAGACUGGGAUAACUCCGGGAAACCGGAGCUAAUACCGGAUAGUUCCUUGAACCGCAUGGUUCAAGGAUGAAAGACGGUUUCGGCUGUCACUUACAGAUGGACCCGCGGCGCAUUAGCUAGUUGGUGAGGUAACGGCUCACCAAGGCGACGAUGCGUAGCCGACCUGAGAGGGUGAUCGGCCACACUGGGACUGAGACACGGCCCAGACUCCUACGGGAGGCAGCAGUAGGGAAUCUUCCGCAAUGGACGAAAGUCUGACGGAGCAACGCCGCGUGAGUGAUGAAGGUUUUCGGAUCGUAAAGCUCUGUUGUUAGGGAAGAACAAGUGCAAGAGUAACUGCUUGCACCUUGACGGUACCUAACCAGAAAGCCACGGCUAACUACGUGCCAGCAGCCGCGGUAAUACGUAGGUGGCAAGCGUUGUCCGGAAUUAUUGGGCGUAAAGGGCUCGCAGGCGGUUUCUUAAGUCUGAUGUGAAAGCCCCCGGCUCAACCGGGGAGGGUCAUUGGAAACUGGGAAACUUGAGUGCAGAAGAGGAGAGUGGAAUUCCACGUGUAGCGGUGAAAUGCGUAGAGAUGUGGAGGAACACCAGUGGCGAAGGCGACUCUCUGGUCUGUAACUGACGCUGAGGAGCGAAAGCGUGGGGAGCGAACAGGAUUAGAUACCCUGGUAGUCCACGCCGUAAACGAUGAGUGCUAAGUGUUAGGGGGUUUCCGCCCCUUAGUGCUGCAGCUAACGCAUUAAGCACUCCGCCUGGGGAGUACGGUCGCAAGACUGAAACUCAAAGGAAUUGACGGGGGCCCGCACAAGCGGUGGAGCAUGUGGUUUAAUUCGAAGCAACGCGAAGAACCUUACCAGGUCUUGACAUCCUCUGACAACCCUAGAGAUAGGGCUUUCCCUUCGGGGACAGAGUGACAGGUGGUGCAUGGUUGUCGUCAGCUCGUGUCGUGAGAUGUUGGGUUAAGUCCCGCAACGAGCGCACCCUUGAUCUUAGUUGCCAGCAUUCAGUUGGGCACUUUAAGGUGACUGCCGGUGACAAACCGGAGGAAGGGNGGGAUGACGUCAAUCANCAUGCCCCUUAUGACCUGGGCUACCACGUGCUACAUGGACGAACAAAGGCUGCAGACGCAAGGUUAGCCAUCCCCAAUCUGUUUCAUUCGA
Molecule: ribosomal RNA, 1259 nt
Filed under: Bacillus altitudinis
Lineage: Bacteria; Bacillati; Bacillota; Bacilli; Caryophanales; Bacillaceae
Description: bacterial SSU rRNA
Rfam family: Bacterial small subunit ribosomal RNA
Source: RNAcentral